This 427-nucleotide ribosomal RNA is filed under the name uncultured Verrucomicrobiaceae bacterium. Its description in RNAcentral is "bacterial SSU rRNA". It matches the Rfam family "Bacterial small subunit ribosomal RNA", at positions 353 to 772 of the family's 1533-position model. Lineage: Bacteria; Pseudomonadati; Verrucomicrobiota; Verrucomicrobiia; Verrucomicrobiales; Verrucomicrobiaceae. The record is from RNAcentral.
AGUCGAGAAUCAUUCACAAUGGGGGCAACCCUGAUGGUGCAACGCCGCGUGGAGGAUGAAGGUCUUCGGAUUGUAAACUCCUGUCAUCUAGGAGCAAGGCAUGGAUGUGAAUAGCAUACAUGAUUGAUAGUACUAGAAGAGGAAGGGACGGCUAACUUCGUGCCAGCAGCCGCGGUAAUACGAAGGUCCCGAGCGUUAUUCGGAAUCACUGGGCGUAAAGGGAGCGUAGGCGGCGUGGAAAGUCAGAUGUGAAAUCCCGGGGCUCAACCCCGGAACUGCAUCCGAUACUACCAUGCUAGAGAUUUGGAGGGGUAACUGGAAUUCUCGGUGUAGCAGUGAAAUGCGUGGAUAUCGAGAGGAACACCUGUGGCGAAAGCGAGUUACUGGACAACAUCUGACGCUGAGGCUCGAAGGCUAGGGGAGCAAA